RNAcentral lists this ribosomal RNA (969 nucleotides) under uncultured Actinomycetes bacterium. Its description in RNAcentral is "bacterial SSU rRNA". It matches the Rfam family "Bacterial small subunit ribosomal RNA", at positions 54 to 1030 of the family's 1533-position model. Lineage: Bacteria; Bacillati; Actinomycetota; Actinomycetes. The record is from RNAcentral.
CAUGCAAGUCGAACGAGAACUGUUGAGUUCGUAAGAACUCGACAGGGACAGUGGCGAACGGGUGCGUAACACGUGAGGAACCUGCCCUGGAGACCGGGAUAGCCCGAGGAAACUCGGAUUAAUACCGGAUACCUUCUCGGGAUCGCAUGAUCCCUUGAAGAAACAGUCCGCUGCUCCAGGAUGGCCUCGCGGCCUAUCAGCUUGUUGGUGAGGUAACGGCUCACCAAGGCAGCGACGGGUAGCUGGUCUGAGAGGACGAUCAGCCACACUGGGACUGAGACACGGCCCAGACUCCUACGGGAGGCAGCAGCAGGGAAUAUUGCACAAUGGGCGAAAGCCUGAUGCAGCGACGCCGCGUGCGGGAUGAAGGCCUUCGGGUUGUAAACCGCUUUCAGGAGGGACGAAAAUGACGGUACCUCCAGAAGAAGGCCCGGCCAACUACGUGCCAGCAGCCGCGGUAACACGUAGGGGCCAAACGUUGUCCGGAUUUAUUGGGCGUAAAGGGCUCGUAGGCGGCUCGACAAGUCAACCGUGAAAACCCGGGGCUCAACCCCGGGACGCCGGUCGAAACUGUCGUGGCUAGUGUCCGGUAGAGGUGAGUGGAAUUCUCGGUGUAGCGGUGAAAUGCGCAGAUAUCGAGAGGAACACCAGUAGCGAAGGCGGCUCACUGGGCCGGUACAGACGCUGAGGAGCGAAAGCGUGGGGAGCAAACAGGAUUAGAUACCCUGGUAGUCCACGCCGUAAACGUUGAAUACUAGGUGUGGCGGAUGUAUCCAUGUCUGCCGUGCCGCAGCUAACGCAUUAAGUAUUCCGCCUGGGGAGUACGGCCGCAAGGCUAAAACUCAAAGGAAUUGACGGGGCCCCGCACAAGCGGCGGAGCAUGCGGCUUAAUUCGAUGCAACCCGAAGAACCUUACCUGGACUUGACAUCAUGGGUCUACCUGCGGAAACACAGGGUGCUUAUGCGCCC